This 546-nucleotide long non-coding RNA is filed under the name Vigna radiata. RNAcentral describes it as "long non-coding RNA (VRAD_LNC014030)". The record is from RNAcentral. Lineage: Eukaryota; Viridiplantae; Streptophyta; Magnoliopsida; Fabales; Fabaceae.
CGGGGUAUAGUACAUUAAGCCCCCCAAGCCCCGAACAAUUGUUUUGCAGGUGCGAAUGUGUUUAAAUAUGUUGGACAGGUUUGGACGAGAGUGAGAGUUUCUUUCUGCUCGGUUUAAGACGAAAGUGGGAGUUCACGAGGAGCGUUCCCCAUCGCUCGGUUUAAGACGAGAUUGGGAGUUCAUGAGGAGCGUUUCCCACCGCUCGGUUUAGGACGAGAGUGGGAGUUCACGAGGAGCGUUCCCCACCGCUCGGUUUAGGACGAGAGUAGGAGUUCACAAGGAGCGUUCCAUACCGCUCGGUUUAGGACGAGAGUGGGAGUUCACGAGGAGCGUUCCCUACCGCUCGGUUUAGGACGAGAGUGAGAGUUCACGAGGAGCGUUCCCUACCACUCGGUUUAGGACGAGAGUGAGAGUUCACGAGGAGCGUUCCCCACCGCUCGGUUUAGGAAAAGAGUGGGAGUUCACGAGGAGUGUUCCCCACUACUCGGUUUAUGGCCAGGGAUUCUCGGAGGGCGUUCCCUAGGUUUUGUUGACGAGACUUUUCCG